CUUUAGGCAAAACUUGAAUGGUUUGAUUCUCUUUAUUUUUCAGUUAAGGAUUUGGAUGGAUCAACUCUGUAGCUGCCGAAGCAACAUGCCGGAGAGACGACUUCAGCUUUGGAACACGGCUUAAAGACUUUCAGAGCAUUUGCAGUAUAGCCUUAUAGGUGCUGGAGUCCUUGGGCUCAGUAACUUUGCAAACAUUGCUUAAACAGGAUAGGAUUCAUCAUGGUCACCAAGAGCAUGGAUAUUUCCACUGAGAGUCGCUAAUUUCUGUUGUUAUCUUGUUGAAAUGGCAUAUGCAUUGGGGAAUUGAAGAAGAAACUAAGGCCAUGGUGGCAGAAAUUGACGAUGAGGCUAAUGAUGAAGGUUAGAUGGUCACUCGACCUGGAAAACUGAGUGGAUCAAGUUCCACAGCCUUAUGCUAAUGAAGCAGCUUCCGGCUUUGAUAAUGACGGAGCCUAUCCUCCUGAUCUACGUCUUAUGACUUAGGUACAUGUAAGAUAUGAAACCGAAGACUAAAUGAUUUAAACCUUCUAAUUUCUUUUGCAAUAUGGAGAAAGGAUCAUCUCUGCUAUAGCAAACAUUACAUGGAAUAAUAACUGAUUCCCUCGCAUAAGCAAUGCUGUAAGAAGAAAAGAAAAGGACCACACAAGGAGCCAGAGUGAUCAUUCUUCAUGUGGUAGUAUGUGCUCAAGAACCUGACCCUGGUGCGCUCAGUUACUGCGGUGAACCGAAGCUUGGCCCGUUUGAAUCCUCCUUUACCUGCAGAUUCAU
Long non-coding RNA from Solanum pennellii, 768 nucleotides. RefSeq lists it as uncharacterized. The record is from RefSeq and is a predicted model, not a curated record. The transcript has 4 exons. Lineage: Eukaryota; Viridiplantae; Streptophyta; Magnoliopsida; Solanales; Solanaceae.